RNAcentral lists this ribosomal RNA (18 nucleotides) under Plagiomnium vesicatum. Its description in RNAcentral is "partial 28S ribosomal RNA". Lineage: Eukaryota; Viridiplantae; Streptophyta; Bryopsida; Bryales; Mniaceae. The record is from RNAcentral.
GGACCUCUAAUCGGAAAA